RNAcentral lists this ribosomal RNA (469 nucleotides) under uncultured bacterium. RNAcentral's name for it is "SSU rRNA". It matches the Rfam family "Bacterial small subunit ribosomal RNA", at positions 26 to 518 of the family's 1533-position model. The record is from RNAcentral.
AGGACUAACGCUGGCGGCGUGCCUAACACAUGCAAGUCGAACGAGGGGUAGCAAUACCCCUAGUGGCAGACGGGUGAGUAACACGUAGUCAACUUACCUCUUAAUGGGGGAUAACUAGCCGAAAGGUUAGCUAAUACCGCAUACGAUCGUCGAGUAGCAUCACACGACGAUGAAAGGAGCAAUCCGUUGAGAGAGGGGACUGCGUCCCAUUAGUUAGUUGGUGGGGUAAUGGCCUACCAAGACUCCGAUGGGUAGCUGGCUUGAGAGAGCGACCAGCCACACUGGAACUGAGACACGGUCCAGACUCCUACGGGAGGCAGCAGUGAGGAAUUUUCCGCAAUGGGGGAAACCCUGACGGAGCGACGCCGCGUGUGGGAAGAAGGCCUUCGGGUCGUAAACCACUGUCGAGGGGGACGAUAUUGACGGUACCCCUGGAGGAAGCCCCGGCUAACUACGCGCCAGCAGCCGC